CCUCAUAGCACACGCUGCCAUCCAGUGCCACAGAGAGACAAGGGAGAGAGAAAAGCCACAGUAACAACACGAAAGACUGUCUCAGACCAGUCGCCAGUAGCUCGAAGCCCACCCUUGAGUGGCACUGCAGUACCCUGAUGAGCAGUCAAAGAAAAGUACAUAUGGUUUGUGGAACUACACAAAAAGCCUACGUCGAUGUGAGAAAGGCCAUCCACCAACUUGAAGACAACGGUUACCUCUCAGGAGAGAGAGAGAAAUGGGAUCGAGUGGGAUACACGGGGACAUCUACACCAUCUCUGUGAUAUUUUUACUUCUUCAGGCAAAAUGUUCACAUUUGUCAGAUCUUAUUGGUGGCACAUAGGUAUACUUUAGAUGAUUUGUCAUUCCCUGUGUCUGAAAUGUUUCGUUUUAGCCUUUAAAUUUUAAAAAGAGGAAAAUAAACUUGAAUAGAAAGUU
Long non-coding RNA from Miniopterus natalensis, 456 nucleotides. RefSeq lists it as uncharacterized. NCBI's taxonomy places the organism in Eukaryota, Metazoa, Chordata, Mammalia, Chiroptera, Miniopteridae. The record is from RefSeq and is a predicted model, not a curated record.